Unclassified non-coding RNA from Gorilla gorilla gorilla (western lowland gorilla), 100 nucleotides. It matches the Rfam family "Y RNA". From Rfam's summary of the family: Y RNAs are components of the Ro ribonucleoprotein particle (Ro RNP), in association with Ro60 and La proteins. The Y RNAs and Ro60 and La proteins are well conserved, but the function of the Ro RNP is not known. The record is from Ensembl. NCBI's taxonomy places the organism in Eukaryota, Metazoa, Chordata, Mammalia, Primates, Hominidae.
GGCUGGUCCAAGUGCAGUGGUGUUUACAACUAAUUUAUCACAACAGGUUAGAUUGCUUUCUUCCUUCUCCACUCAAACUGCUUCACUUGACUAGCCUUAA